RNAcentral lists this ribosomal RNA (253 nucleotides) under uncultured bacterium. RNAcentral describes it as "partial 16S ribosomal RNA". It matches the Rfam family "Bacterial small subunit ribosomal RNA", at positions 524 to 776 of the family's 1533-position model. The record is from RNAcentral.
UACGGAGGGUGCAAGCGUUGUCCGGAUUUAUUGGGUUUAAAGGGUGCGUAGGCGGCUAUUUAAGUCAGCGGUGAAAGACUCCGGCUUAACCGGAGCAGUGCCAUUGAUACUGGAUAGCUUGAGUGUUGGAGGGGUACAUGGAAUUGAUGGUGUAGCGGUGAAAUGCAUAGAUACCAUCAGGAACACCGAUAGCGAAGGCAUUGUACUGGCCAACAACUGACGCUGAGGCACGAAAGCAUGGGGAGCGAACAGG